CUUAAUCUUCUUUUCUAUUGGGGACAGGGGACCAACUGCAAUGCAGGGAUCUUGACUAUCUUUGGCCCAGGCUGAC
Molecule: long non-coding RNA, 76 nt
Organism: Sus scrofa (pig)
Lineage: Eukaryota; Metazoa; Chordata; Mammalia; Artiodactyla; Suidae
Rfam family: ZNRD1 antisense RNA 1 conserved region 2
Source: Rfam